GGGGCUAUAGCUCAGUGGCAGAGCGCUUGCCUAGCAUGUAUGAGGCACUGAGUUUGAUCCUCAGUAUCACAU
Ictidomys tridecemlineatus (thirteen-lined ground squirrel) is the source of this 72-nucleotide non-coding RNA. NCBI's taxonomy places the organism in Eukaryota, Metazoa, Chordata, Mammalia, Rodentia, Sciuridae. The record is from Rfam.